This 253-nucleotide ribosomal RNA is filed under the name uncultured bacterium. RNAcentral describes it as "partial 16S ribosomal RNA". It matches the Rfam family "Bacterial small subunit ribosomal RNA", at positions 524 to 776 of the family's 1533-position model. The record is from RNAcentral.
UACGUAGGGUGCAAGCGUUGUCCGGAAUUAUUGGGCGUAAAGAGCUCGUAGGCGGUUUGUUGCGUCGGCUGUGAAAACCUGAGGCUCAACCUCAGGCCUGCAGUCGAUACGAGCAGACUAGAGUGUUGCAGGGGAGACUGGAAUUCCUGGUGUAGCGGUGAAAUGCGCAGAUAUCAGGAGGAACACCGGUGGCGAAGGCGGGUCUCUGGGCCAUAACUGACGCUGAGAAGCGAAAGCAUGGGGAGCGAACAGG